RNAcentral lists this ribosomal RNA (472 nucleotides) under uncultured Pelotomaculum sp. RNAcentral describes it as "bacterial SSU rRNA". It matches the Rfam family "Bacterial small subunit ribosomal RNA", at positions 910 to 1382 of the family's 1533-position model. The record is from RNAcentral. Lineage: Bacteria; Bacillati; Bacillota; Clostridia; Eubacteriales; Desulfotomaculaceae.
UUGACGGGGCCCGCACAAGCGGUGGAGCAUGUGGUUUAAUUCGACGCAACGCGAAGAACCUUACCAGGGCUUGACAUCCCCUGACCGCGUAUGAAAGUACGUUUUCACCUCGGGUGACAGGGAGACAGGUGGUGCAUGGUUGUCGUCAGCUCGUGUCGUGAGAUGUUGGGUUAAGUCCCGCAACGAGCGCAACCCCUACGUUUAGUUGCUAACGCGUGAAGGCGAGCACUCUAGACGAACUGCCGUUGACAAAACGGAGGAAGGUGGGAUGACGUCAAAUCAUCAUGCCCCUUAUGUUCUGGGCUACACACGUGCUACAAUGGCCGGUACAGACGGACGCAAAGCCGCGAGGUGGAGCAAAUCCUAAAAAGCCGGUCUCAGUUCGGAUUGCAGGCUGCAAUUCCCCUGCAUGAAGUCGGAAUCGCUAGUAAUCGCAGGUCAGCAUACUGCGGUGAAUACGUUCCCGGGGCUU